GCGUGGUCGAACUGUCGAACUUUGACGGCGAAGGCGCUUAGCCUGAGUCCCAGUUCGAGCAAGGUUAAGCUGUCAGCGUUGAUGGCGAAGGAGCUUAGCCUGAGUCACAGUCUGAGCGAGGUAGAACUGUCAAACUUUUAUGGAGAAGGCACUUAGUCUUAGUCCUAGUUCGAGUGAGGUCGAACCGUAAACUUUGAUGCGAAGGUGCUUAGCCAUUGACUUGGUUCGAGCGAGGUCGAACUAUCAACUUUUGACGGCGAAGGCGCUUAGCUUGAGUCCUAAUCCGUGUGAGGUCGAACUGUCGAACUUUGAUGGAGAAGGCACCUCCUUUUACUUUGUUCGAGCGCAGUCGAACUGUCAAACU
RNAcentral lists this long non-coding RNA (364 nucleotides) under Nicotiana benthamiana. RNAcentral's name for it is "long non-coding RNA (NBEN_LNC026152)". The record is from RNAcentral. Lineage: Eukaryota; Viridiplantae; Streptophyta; Magnoliopsida; Solanales; Solanaceae.